Pelobates cultripes (western spadefoot toad) is the source of this 327-nucleotide non-coding RNA. Lineage: Eukaryota; Metazoa; Chordata; Amphibia; Anura; Pelobatidae. The record is from the annotation of a GenBank genome assembly.
UCCUCACAAGUGUAGUUAAGUCCCAAAUACUCGCGCCGAUUAUCUCCAGGCUUCAGGGGCUAUAUGCACUUUCACUUGUUCCGGGAGGCGGGCUUACGGCCGUUGAACGUAAUGACACGUUUCGCCGACGUGCUCAGCUUCAUCACAUCCGCCCACUUGUCCAUCACAGUCUCAAUAUAAGGCAUAAAAAAGGGGCGUGGCUGCCCAAAAGGUCCGUGAAUUCUGCCUUGUGAUAGGUUAUCUUAACCAGGCAUAUUACCAUACAUAAUAGAUGCCAUUUCCUACUUGAAUCGAACUAAAAGGGAACUAUUCACUAAAAUGUUUACA